Molecule: long non-coding RNA, 858 nt
Filed under: Trifolium pratense (red clover)
Lineage: Eukaryota; Viridiplantae; Streptophyta; Magnoliopsida; Fabales; Fabaceae
Description: long non-coding RNA (TPRA_LNC006351)
Source: RNAcentral
AUGAAACCAAGCAUGACCAAUUUACUACAAGUAUUACCAAUUAACACUUUUCACCAACAGUGACCUUUACCAAGCUUCUUAUGAACAUCCAAAUAAAGUUCAACCAGUAACAAUGUAACCAAGGCAUGAGAUCCAAAUUUAUCUUCAAAAAAAUAUGUUCUCGGUGAUAAGCUAAUAACAGAGCACCAUAUUGAAACGAUAUUGCAUGCCAAACAACCAAACUGAAUAACCAAUGCACCAAAGGAGAUAGCCAUAACAAAUCUGAUCGGGUGCAUAAAACAAGCACAAGCUUCACAGUAGCAGAAAAUUGAGUCUAAAAAUAAACUGAAUAUGCCAUACCUUAGUGUAAGACAAGCACAAUCUAUGACCAUACACGUCAUUGCGGGGAAGUCGUGAAUCAGUGAAUCUUGACUUGAAUCAAACACCAAAGCAAUCCUUCUCUGUCUUCAAUCUAAAACUUUUCACAAACACCUUGGGAGCAGUAUCAAAUAUAAACAGAAAUUUUCCCAGCGAGAAAUUCCAAAUCGAUAUCUAGAUGUUCUAGUUAAACUAACCAAAAACAGAUCGAAAGCGGAAAUGAGUGAUUCAGUGAACUGAAAUGCGAUUGCAAAUGGAAUCGCAAACCCUAGAAUUUGGGGAAAAAGGAAGAGAUUAAAGUUGCGAUUAAAACAAAAUCGCAAUCGAACACGGAACAAGAAUCAAAUCGAAAAGAAAUCAAGAAAUCGGAUCUAGAACAUGAAUUGGAAUCAUGAAAUUCACAAAACGGAAUCAAAAUUGAAAUCAAGAAAACGGAAUUCGCAACCGAUAGAUGAGAAAAGUGAUUUUCUCAGAUGGAAAAUUAACAGUACUAGAGAAUUG